Melospiza melodia melodia is the source of this 975-nucleotide long non-coding RNA. RefSeq lists it as uncharacterized. The transcript is spliced from 3 exons. NCBI's taxonomy places the organism in Eukaryota, Metazoa, Chordata, Aves, Passeriformes, Passerellidae. The record is from RefSeq and is a predicted model, not a curated record.
CAGGCAUGAGAUCUGGAUGAAGCUGCUGUUUCUAAAACACCAAGAUCUUUCUUGUGCUUGAUGGCAUGAGCCACUUGGGGUUACUGGAAGCUCCUGAGGGACACCAGAACAACCAUGUGCUCACUGCUGUGGCCUGGAAACAAACUCAGUAUCUUGUGGGAAGAGUGGUCAGCCUAAUUUAAGAUGAAUGAAGGCUCAGUUACCAGCACAGGAGUUACCGCUGGCGAGGAAACGUUUGCUCAGAAUAGAAGCAUUGUGCCACCAGCUGUGUUAAAUUGCUGCCUCUAAGCUAUUGUGGGACAAUUCAAGCCUAUUGUAAAAUAGAUAGCAGGAAGGCAUGUGUGUUUCCAAGGAAACCCUUGGCUGCAAGUUUAUUGUAUAAAUAACACCGGGUGGAGAAGAUGUGGCCAGUGGAAGAGUGGGGAAAAAAAUGAAGUGCUUGGCAUGUCUCAGUGUCUGAGGGAGGGUCGUAAGCACAAGCAGUGAGUGAAACAGAUUUACCAGUUGGGCAGUUGAUCUUUCUUCUGCUGGGAAAAGCAAGAAAAACAGGUUAGUCAUACAGAAGUGACUGGGGAAUAAAAUAGUGGCUGUCAGGAAUAACAUGACCAUGAUGGGCAAGUCCAUGCGCUGAAGGGUGGAGAAGCAAGAUUAGCCCCUGCACCUUCUCAUACUCACUAGAGCAAAAGAGGCUGGUGUAAACACUGCUGAAUUUGCUCAGAGCUAUGCAAGAGAAGAGGCAGAUGAAGGUUUUAGCGGCAAGUAGGAAAGUAAGGGAAAUAUGAAAGAAGGAAUCUUCAUAAUUAUAUAUCUAAGCAUUGGGACAGAUCCAAAACGAAGAGCACAACAUUUAUGGUCUCCAAAGAUUAUCUGUGUACAACUUCUUAAGGUUGUGGACCAGGUUGCUAGUAGAAUUCAAAGAAAAGCAGCAGGCAAUGAAUCCAACACAGUGCAUAUCACACGUAUGCCAAGACAAGA